Molecule: ribosomal RNA, 429 nt
Filed under: Bacteroidota bacterium
Lineage: Bacteria; Pseudomonadati; Bacteroidota
Description: Bacteroidetes bacterium partial 16S ribosomal RNA
Rfam family: Bacterial small subunit ribosomal RNA
Source: RNAcentral
UAGGGAAUCUUCCGCAAUGGACGCAAGUCUGACGGAGCAACGCCGCGUGAGUGAAGAAGGAUUUCGGUUCGUAAAACUCUGUUGUUAGAGAAGAACAGCGCAUAGAGUAACUGUUAUGCGUGUGACGGUAUCUAACCAGAAAGCCACGGCUAACUACGUGCCAGCAGCCGCGGUAAUACGUAGGUGGCAAGCGUUGUCCGGAUUUAUUGGGCGUAAAGCGAGCGCAGGCGGUCAAUUAAGUCUGAUGUGAAAGCCCCCGGCUCAACCGGGGAGGGUCAUUGGAAACUGUUUAACUUGAGUGCAGAAGGGGAGAGUGGAAUUCCAUGUGUAGCGGUGAAAUGCGUAGAUAUAUGGAGGAACACCGGUGGCGAAAGCGGCUCUCUGGUCUGUAACUGACGCGGAGGCUCGAAAGUGUGGGGAGCGAACAGG